Molecule: ribosomal RNA, 253 nt
Filed under: uncultured bacterium
Lineage: Bacteria
Description: partial 16S ribosomal RNA
Rfam family: Bacterial small subunit ribosomal RNA
Source: RNAcentral
UACGUAGGGGGCGAGCGUUAAUCGGAAUUACUGGGCGUAAAGCGUGCGCAGGCGGUUAUGUAAGACAGUUGUGAAAUCCCCGGGCUCAACCUGGGAAUUGCAUCUGUGACUGCAUAGCUAGAGUACGGUAGAGGGGGAUGGAAUUCCGCGUGUAGCAGUGAAAUGCGUAGAUAUGCGGAGGAACACCGAUGGCGAAGGCAAUCCCCUGGACCUGUACUGACGCUCAUGCACGAAAGCGUGGGGAGCAAACAGG